AGGAAUUUAGGUUAAGCAGACCAAUAGCCUUCAAAGCUUUAAGCAAGCCGUCUAAGCUUAAUUCCUG
RNAcentral lists this transfer RNA (67 nucleotides) under Muscardinus avellanarius (hazel dormouse). RNAcentral describes it as "tRNA-Trp". It matches the Rfam family "tRNA". From Rfam's summary of the family: Transfer RNA (tRNA) molecules are approximately 80 nucleotides in length. Their secondary structure includes four short double-helical elements and three loops (D, anti-codon, and T loops). Lineage: Eukaryota; Metazoa; Chordata; Mammalia; Rodentia; Gliridae. The record is from RNAcentral.